Molecule: unclassified non-coding RNA, 217 nt
Filed under: Entoloma longistriatum
Lineage: Eukaryota; Fungi; Basidiomycota; Agaricomycetes; Agaricales; Entolomataceae
Description: partial internal transcribed spacer 2
Source: RNAcentral
AAUUCUCAACCUUUCAAGCUUUGAAUGAAAAGCUAGUUAGGCUUGGAUUCUGGGAGUUUGCUGGCUUUUCUUUGAGUCAGCUCUUCUUAAAUAUAUUAGCAAGAUCAUCGCUAAAUCAUCUUUGAUAUGAUAAUUAUCUAUAUCAUUAAUGAUAACCGGCGUUUCCUUCACGGGAAAGAUCAGGCUUAUAACUGUCUCAGGACAAUAUAUUCGAAUC